GACGAACGCUGGCGGCGUGCUUAACACAUGCAAGUCGAACGGAAAGGCCCUGCUUUUGUGGGGUGCUCGAGUGGCGAACGGGUGAGUAACACGUGAGUAACCUGCCCUUGACUUUGGGAUAACUUCAGGAAACUGGGGCUAAUACCGGAUAGGAGCUCCUGCUGCAUGGUGGGGGUUGGAAAGUUUCGGCGGUUGGGGAUGGACUCGCGGCUUAUCAGCUUGUUGGUGGGGUAGUGGCUUACCAAGGCUUUGACGGGUAGCCGGCCUGAGAGGGUGACCGGCCACAUUGGGACUGAGAUACGGCCCAGACUCCUACGGGAGGCAGCAGUGGGGAAUAUUGCACAAUGGGCGGAAGCCUGAUGCAGCAACGCCGCGUGCGGGAUGACGGCCUUCGGGUUGUAAACCGCUUUCGCCUGUGACGAAGCGUGAGUGACGGUAAUGGGUAAAGAAGCACCGGCUAACUACGUGCCAGCAGCCGCGGUGAUACGUAGGGUGCGAGCGUUGUCCGGAUUUAUUGGGCGUAAAGGGCUCGUAGGUGGUUGAUCGCGUCGGAAGUGUAAUCUUGGGGCUUAACCCUGAGCGUGCUUUCGAUACGGGUUGACUUGAGGAAGGUAGGGGAGAAUGGAAUUCCUGGUGGAGCGGUGGAAUGCGCAGAUAUCAGGAGGAACACCAGUGGCGAAGGCGGUUCUCUGGGCCUUUCCUGACGCUGAGGAGCGAAAGCGUGGGGAGCGAACAGGCUUAGAUACCCUGGUAGUCCACGCUGUAAACGGUGGGUACUAGGGGUGGGGUCCAUUCCACGGGUUCCGUGCCGUAGCUAACGCUUUAAGUACCCCGCCUGGGGAGUACGGCCGCAAGGCUAAAACUCAAAGGAAUUGACGGGGCCCCGCACAAGCGGCGGAGCAUGCGGAUUAAUUCGAUGCAACGCGUAGAACCUUACCUGGGUUUGACAUGGAUCGGGAGUGCUCAGAGAUGGGUGUGCCUCUUUUGGGGUCGGUUCACAGGUGGUGCAUGCCUGUCGUCAGCUCGUGUCGUGAGAUGUUGGGUUAAGUCCCGCAACGAGCGCAACCCUUGUUCACUGUUGCCAGCACGUUAUGGUGGGGACUCAGUGGAGACCGCCGGGGUCAACUCGGAGGAAGGUGGGGAUGACGUCAAGUCCUCAUGCCCCUUAUGUCCAGGGCUUCACGCAUGCUGCAAUGGCUGGUACAGAGAGUGGCGAGCCUGUGAGGGUGAGCGAAUCUCGGANAGCCGGUCUCAGUUCGGAUUGGGGUCUGCAACUCGACCUCAUGAAGUCGGAGUCGCUAGUAAUCGCAGAUCAGCAACGCUGCGGUGAAUACGUUCCCGGG
This 1343-nucleotide ribosomal RNA is filed under the name uncultured bacterium. RNAcentral's name for it is "16S ribosomal RNA". It matches the Rfam family "Bacterial small subunit ribosomal RNA", at positions 28 to 1378 of the family's 1533-position model. The record is from RNAcentral.